Long non-coding RNA from Myripristis murdjan (pinecone soldierfish), 555 nucleotides. RefSeq lists it as uncharacterized. The record is from RefSeq and is a predicted model, not a curated record. NCBI's taxonomy places the organism in Eukaryota, Metazoa, Chordata, Actinopteri, Holocentriformes, Holocentridae. The transcript has 3 exons.
UGCGGGUCUUGACCAAAGCACUGAAGGUGGGAGUUGGUCUGCAGAUGAUGAGAGCUCAGGGACAAACCUGAUUACAAAGACACAGAAGAAGAAGAAAAGAGGAAAACAGAUGGUGAAAGGAAAAGAGCCACCCAAAGUUGCAGUGAGGAGACGAUGGAGUGAUGCAGAAAAGACAGCAGUCGAAAAGCACCUGGGAAACUGUUUGGCAGAGCGAAGAGUUCCUCGCAAAGAGGCCUGUCUGCGGGCUGUUCAGGCUGAGAAAGCCCUGUGUCAGAGGUCAUGGAGACUUGUCAAAGCCUAUGUUUCCAACAAAAUUGUGACUUUAAAUCGCAGAUCUUCUGCAAGGACUAGAGAUGCACCAUUCAGUUAGCCAGUUGGCUCAGAUAAAAGUCAUCCCUACUGAUCUGUUCAUGUCUGUUUUAUCUGUUCUUUUAUGUGUUCUUUGUGAAUAUAUAUUAGUGCAUCUGUAGUGAGCAGGGAAGCUUCAUUAUUUAAGUUUUGUUAGUUAAGUUGUUAUGUUUUUCUCAGCUCUGCAGUUAGAAAAGUAGGAAAGAA